Molecule: long non-coding RNA, 252 nt
Organism: Myiozetetes cayanensis
Lineage: Eukaryota; Metazoa; Chordata; Aves; Passeriformes; Tyrannidae
Exons: 3
Source: RefSeq, a predicted model, not a curated record
AUUUAGGAGCAGCCUGAGUAUGAUUCAGCAAAAGCACCUUGCACAGAAGGAGCAACAGGAAGGGAGGCACAGAGAACUGCAAGGAAAUGCUGAAGGGUUUGACAACGUGAUGAGGAAAACAAAUUGAAAGCACCAAUUUCUGGGGUCUGAAACUUUCCACUUUCCUGUACAGCAACAUGAUCCCAGUUUCAGUUAUGAUUUCACACAGAACUGCCCUACCCAAGAGUUUGUUGUCUGCACAUCAGGAAGCUG